AGCGUACACGGUGGAUGCCCUGGCAGUCAGAGGCGAUGAAGGGCGUGCUAAUCUGCGAUAAGCGCCGGUAAGGUGAUAUGAACCGUUAUAACCGGCGAUACCCGAAUGGGGAAACCCAGUGUGAUUCGUCACACUAUCAUUAACUGAAUCCAUAGGUUAAUGAGGCGAACCGGGGGAACUGAAACAUCUAAGUACCCCGAGGAAAAGAAAUCAACCGAGAUUCCCCCAGUAGCGGCGAGCGAACGGGGAGGAGCCCAGAGCCUGAAUCAGCAUGUGUGUUAGUGGAAGCGUCUGGAAAGGCGCGCGAUACAGGGUGACAGCCCCGUACACAAAAGCGCAUGUGCUGUGAGCUCGAUGAGUAGGGCGGGACACGUGGUAUCCUGUCUGAAUAUGGGGGGACCAUCCUCCAAGGCUAAAUACUCCUGACUGACCGAUAGUGAACCAGUACCGUGAGGGAAAGGCGAAAAGAACCCCGGCGAGGGGAGUGAAAAAGAGCCUGAAACCGUGUACGUACAAGCAGUGGGAGCACCCUUCGGGGUGUGACUGCGUACCUUUUGUAUAAUGGGUCAGCGACUUAUAUUCUGUAGCAAGGUUAACCGUAUAGGGGAGCCGGAGGGAAACCGAGUCUUAACCGGGCGUUAAGUUGCAGGGUAUAGACCCGAAACCCGGUGAUCUAGCCAUGGGCAGGUUGAAGGUUGGGUAACACUAACUGGAGGACCGAACCGACUAAUGUUGAAAAAUUAGCGGAUGACCUGUGGCUGGGGGUGAAAGGCCAAUCAAACCGGGAGAUAGCUGGUUCUCCCCGAAAGCUAUUUAGGUAGCGCCUCGUGAAUUCAUCUCCGGGGGUAGAGCACUGUUUCGGCUAGGGGGCCAUCCCGGCUUACCAACCCGAUGCAAACUGCGAAUACCGGAGAAUGUUAUCACGGGAGACACACGGCGGGUGCUAACGUCCGUCGUGAAGAGGGAAACAACCCAGACCGCCAGCUAAGGUCCCAAAGUCAUGGUUAAGUGGGAAACGAUGUGGGAAGGCCCAGACAGCCAGGAUGUUGGCUUAGAAGCAGCCAUCAUUUAAAGAAAGCGUAAUAGCUCACUGGUCGAGUCGGCCUGCGCGGAAGAUGUAACGGGGCUAAACCAUGCACCGAAGCUGCGGCAGCGAACGUAUCACCCAAGACAACUUUACGGAGUUGACGAUUGACGGAGCGAAGCGACGUCAAAGCGUUCAUUAAAGUCGAGUUGGCUUAGGGAUACGUUCGUUGGGUAGGGGAGCGUUCUGUAAGCCUGUGAAGGUGUGUCGUGAGGCAUGCUGGAGGUAUCAGAAGUGCGAAUGCUGACAUAAGUAACGAUAAAGCGGGUGAAAAGCCCGCUCGCCGGAAGACCAAGGGUUCCUGUCCAACGUUAAUCGGGGCAGGGUGAGUCGACCCCUAAGGCGAGGCCGAAAGGCGUAGUCGAUGGGAAACGGGUUAAUAUUCCCGUACUUGGUGUUACUGCGAAGGGGGGACGGAGAAGGCUAUGUUGGCCGGGCGACGGUUGUCCCGGUUUAAGCGUGUAGGUGUGUGUUCCAGGUAAAUCCGGUUCACUUUAACACUGAGGCGUGACGACGAGGCACUACGGUGCUGAAGCAACAAAUGCCCUGCUUCCAGGAAAAGCCUCUAAGCAUCAGGUAACAUCAAAUCGUACCCCAAACCGACACAGGUGGUCAGGUAGAGAAUACCAAGGCGCUUGAGAGAACUCGGGUGAAGGAACUAGGCAAAAUGGUGCCGUAACUUCGGGAGAAGGCACGCUGACACGUAGGUGAAGUGAUUUACUCAUGGAGCUGAAGUCAGUCGAAGAUACCAGCUGGCUGCAACUGUUUAUUAAAAACACAGCACUGUGCAAACACGAAAGUGGACGUAUACGGUGUGACGCCUGCCCGGUGCCGGAAGGUUAAUUGAUGGGGUCAGCGCAAGCGAAGCUCCUGAUCGAAGCCCCGGUAAACGGCGGCCGUAACUAUAACGGUCCUAAGGUAGCGAAAUUCCUUGUCGGGUAAGUUCCGACCUGCACGAAUGGCGUAAUGAUGGCCAGGCUGUCUCCACCCGAGACUCAGUGAAAUUGAACUCGCUGUGAAGAUGCAGUGUACCCGCGGCAAGACGGAAAGACCCCGUGAACCUUUACUAUAGCUUGACACUGAACAUUGAGCCUUGAUGUGUAGGAUAGGUGGGAGGCUUUGAAGUGUGGACGCCAGUCUGCAUGGAGCCGACCUUGAAAUACCACCCUUUAAUGUUUGAUGUUCUAACGUGGACCCGUAAUCCGGGUUGCGGACAGUGUCUGGUGGGUAGUUUGACUGGGGCGGUCUCCUCCUAAAGAGUAACGGAGGAGCACGAAGGUUGGCUAAUCCUGGUCGGACAUCAGGAGGUUAGUGCAAUGGCAUAAGCCAGCUUGACUGCGAGCGUGACGGCGCGAGCAGGUGCGAAAGCAGGUCAUAGUGAUCCGGUGGUUCUGAAUGGAAGGGCCAUCGCUCAACGGAUAAAAGGUACUCCGGGGAUAACAGGCUGAUACCGCCCAAGAGUUCAUAUCGACGGCGGUGUUUGGCACCUCGAUGUCGGCUCAUCACAUCCUGGGGCUGAAGUAGGUCCCAAGGGUAUGGCUGUUCGCCAUUUAAAGUGGUACGCGAGCUGGGUUUAGAACGUCGUGAGACAGUUCGGUCCCUAUCUGCCGUGGGCGCUGGAGAACUGAGGGGGGCUGCUCCUAGUACGAGAGGACCGGAGUGGACGCAUCACUGGUGUUCGGGUUGUCAUGCCAAUGGCACUGCCCGGUAGCUAAAUGCGGAAGAGAUAAGUGCUGAAAGCAUCUAAGCACGAAACUUGCCCCGAGAUGAGUUCU
Molecule: ribosomal RNA, 2859 nt
Filed under: Salmonella enterica
Lineage: Bacteria; Pseudomonadati; Pseudomonadota; Gammaproteobacteria; Enterobacterales; Enterobacteriaceae
Description: bacterial LSU rRNA
Rfam family: Bacterial large subunit ribosomal RNA
Source: RNAcentral